UACGUAGGGGGCAAGCGUUGUCCGGAUUUAUUGGGCGUAAAGAGCGUGUAGGCGGCUUUACAGGUCCGUUGUGAAAACUCGAGGCUCAACCUCGAGACGUCGGUUGAAACCACCUGGCUAGAGUCCGGAAGAGGAGAGUGGAAUUCCUGGUGUAGCGGUGAAAUGCGCAGAUAUCAGGAAGAACACCCGUGGCGAAGGCGGCUCUCUGGGACGGUACUGACGCUGAGACGCGAAAGCGUGGGGAGCGAACAGG
This 253-nucleotide ribosomal RNA is filed under the name uncultured bacterium. RNAcentral describes it as "partial 16S ribosomal RNA". It matches the Rfam family "Bacterial small subunit ribosomal RNA", at positions 524 to 776 of the family's 1533-position model. The record is from RNAcentral.